UGGCGGCGUGCUUAACACAUGCAAGUCGAGCGAUGAAGUUUCCUUCGGGAAACGGAUUAGCGGCGGACGGGUGAGUAACACGUGGGUAACCUGCCUCAUAGAGUGGAAUAGCCUUCCGAAAGGAAGAUUAAUACCGCAUAAUGUUGAAAGAUGGCAUCAUCAUUCAACCAAAGGAGCAAUCCGCUAUGAGAUGGACCCGCGGCGCAUUAGCUAGUUGGUGGGGUAACGGCCUACCAAGGCGACGAUGCGUAGCCGACCUGAGAGGGUGAUCGGCCACAUUGGGACUGAGACACGGCCCAGACUCCUACGGGAGGCAGCAGUGGGGAAUAUUGCACAAUGGGGGAAACCCUGAUGCAGCAACGCCGCGUGAGUGAUGAAGGUUUUCGGAUCGUAAAGCUCUGUCUUUGGGGAAGAUAAUGACGGUACCCAAGGAGGAAGCCACGGCUAACUACGUGCCAGCAGCCGCGGUAAUACGUAGGUGGCGAGCGUUAUCCGGAUUUACUGGGCGUAAAGGGAGCGUAGGCGGAUGAUUAAGUGGGAUGUGAAAUACCCGGGCUCAACUUGGGUGCUGCAUUCCAAACUGGUUAUCUAGAGUGCAGGAGAGGAGAGUGGAAUUCCUAGUGUAGCGGUGAAAUGCGUAGAGAUUAGGAAGAACACCAGUGGCGAAGGCGACUCUCUGGACUGUAACUGACGCUGAGGCUCGAAAGCGUGGGGAGCAAACAGGAUUAGAUACCCUGGUAGUCCGCGCCGUAAACGAUGAAUACUAGGUGUGGGGGUUUCAACACCUCCGUGCCGCCGCUAACGCAUUAAGUAUUCCGCCUGGGGAGUACGGUCGCAAGAUUAAAACUCAAAGGAAUUGACGGGGACCCGCACAAGUAGCGGAGCAUGUGGUUUAAUUCGAAGCAACGCGAAGAACCUUACCUACACUUGACAUCCCUUGCAUUACUCUUAAUCGAGGAAAUCCCUUCGGGGACAAGGUGACAGGUGGUGCAUGGUUGUCGUCAGCUCGUGUCGUGAGAUGUUGGGUUAAGUCCCGCAACGAGCGCAACCCUUGUCGUUAGUUACUACCAUUAAGUUGAGGACUCUAGCGAGACUGCCUGGGUUAACCAGGAGGAAGGUGGGGAUGACGUCAAAUCAUCAUGCCCCUUAUGUGUAGGGCUACACACGUGCUACAAUGGCUGGUACAGAGAGAUGCAAUACCGCGAGGUGGAGCCAAACUUAAAAACCAGUCUCAGUUCGGAUUGUAGGCUGAAACUCGCCUACAUGAAGCUGGAGUUACUAGUAAUCGCGAAUCAGAAUGUCGCGGUGAAUACGUUCCCGGGUCUUGUACACACCGCCCGUCACACCAUGAGAGUUGGCAAUACCCGAAGUCCGUGAGCUAACCGCGAGGAGGCAGCGGCCGAAGGUAGGGUCAGCGAU
RNAcentral lists this ribosomal RNA (1419 nucleotides) under uncultured organism. RNAcentral's name for it is "SSU rRNA". It matches the Rfam family "Bacterial small subunit ribosomal RNA". The record is from RNAcentral.